RNAcentral lists this transfer RNA (67 nucleotides) under Marmota monax (woodchuck). RNAcentral describes it as "tRNA.Ala". The record is from RNAcentral. Lineage: Eukaryota; Metazoa; Chordata; Mammalia; Rodentia; Sciuridae.
GGAUGUGGCUCAGUGGCAUAGUGCUUGCCUGGCAUGUGUGAGGCACUGGGUUCAAUCCUCAGCACCA